This 253-nucleotide ribosomal RNA is filed under the name uncultured bacterium. Its description in RNAcentral is "partial 16S ribosomal RNA". It matches the Rfam family "Bacterial small subunit ribosomal RNA", at positions 524 to 776 of the family's 1533-position model. The record is from RNAcentral.
UACGAAGGGGGCUAGCGUUGCUCGGAAUCACUGGGCGUAAAGCGCACGUAGGCGGAUUGUUAAGUCAGGGGUGAAAUCCUGGAGCUCAACUCCAGAACUGCCUUUGAUACUGGCAAUCUCGAGUUCGGGAGAGGUGAGUGGAACUGCGAGUGUAGAGGUGAAAUUCGUAGAUAUUCGCAAGAACACCAGUGGCGAAGGCGGCUCACUGGCCCGAUACUGACGCUGAGGUGCGAAAGCGUGGGGAGCAAACAGG